This 282-nucleotide non-coding RNA is filed under the name Chattonella subsalsa. Lineage: Eukaryota; Raphidophyceae; Chattonellales; Chattonellaceae. The record is from RNAcentral.
ACAUACUCCUGUUCAAAGAGAAACACAGGAACAGAUGAUAAAAGACUAUCGGGCUAAAAUAGCGGCCGGAGAAAAGUAAUCAAUAACAGUAUGUAUCUAAGUCUUAUUUUGGUGUACUAUAUGUAGUCUUUUUUUUUUUUUAACCUUGAUAUUAUUUAGUGCAUAUCUGGCAACGGCAAGGAAGAGGGGUAAUCUAAGAAUUAUAAUUUUAGAGAAAAUAAAUCUUAAUGAUAUAAUAGUUUAGACAAUAAAUUAAAAUGAUCAAUUGAGGAAAAAAAAAAA